UCACCGGGUCUCCUGUUCAAAUGUUCCAAUGUUAUUUUUGUUUUCUGAAAAUGCAGAAAAAGACAAAUAACUGUAGUUUAUAGAAUCCCCCUUGUUUCCGAUCGCAUUUCGAGUCGUUUUUGGGUUAUUUUAAGCGUUGAUAUGUUGACAUCAAGACAACCGUGCGGGAGAUCGGUUUAAUAAUUAAUAGUCGAUGUUAUGAAUUUUACAGUGAUGGAUCGAUUGGCAUUAGGAACAAGUAGAAGCAUCUCACCCCCCUGGAUGGAAGAUUCAGUCUCCCGCUUCGGUUCCAGCACCGAAUGACUGAGGUCUGAGGACGGAUAUUUUUUGCAGUGUUGCCAUCGACGACUGGGGGAGCUGGGGGGGCUCUGACAGGCACAAUUUACAUUGAGCUCGCCCCGCGCUGCUAUUUACUUUGAAACCUGAUUAGUAUGGGCCGUCUAUUGUCACCAAAAAAGAGGAAGAAACCCUGGACAGAAUAGCAAAAAAGCGGGGUAAAGGAAAGAGCGGACAAAGAUUUUACGCACGACAAAUAAACCAAAAAAAAAAAAAAAAAAAAAAAAAAUGUGCACAGCGGCAAAAGGGGGAUUCUGCUUCAGAAAUUCCCCGAAGUUUCAAAAUGGUUUGUCUCGGACUGUUAUCUUCAUUAUAGAAUUAACGGAUGUCAUUAAUGUUUUGCCAUGGAUUGAUAUUUUCACAGGCUGUUUUGUCCUUGGCAUGCGCAUUGCGGUACAUCGUUGCCUGUAAUCGGCACAGUCUCGCUGAUUAAAACUUAACGUUUAGUUUAAACCAGUUAAUAAGAGAAAGAAAAUGUCAGUGGGAAGAAUGAUGCAUAAAAGACAGUGUUAUACAAACGGGAUGCCUUGCCAGCGGCCGAAAAUCUCUAAAAUUAGACCGAGGAAUGAGCAAUAUUCAAUAAUUACCAAGGUCCUAUAGUCUCUACAAUCACUGAGCCGGUGUCAUAUUAUGUCUUAAUAAUGACAGUAAUUCAAAAUGUGAAGUUACUGACAAUUUGCAUGGGGAUUCCGGCUUUUUUUUUGUACCAGGGUUUCUGCAGGCUUACUGCCUCUCCAACUCAAAAAUGUCUGGAUCGCGCUGCCAUCUAGCGUACAUUGUACAAUUACAGCCUCAUAUAAAUGCAUCCAUAACUCAUCAGACAUGCAUUUUAAAUCGCAAAAGCUGAUUUUAAAAACAUAAAAGUCCGAACUUUGCCGCUGGUGUCUUUUAUCCUUUGUCUGUUUUUAUUGACGAGGUUAUGAAAUGUACAACUGUUUUGUUGUUAGGGACGUAUAACUCAAACAAACAAAAAAACAAAACAAAACAAAAAACCACAACAAAAACCCCCACCAAACUUUCAGCGAACAUAAAAAAAUACGUGUUAUUACAUCUGAAUAAAUAUAGCGACAAUAAUACACUACAGUCUUGAUCGCACGGAAUAUAGAUUGAACACAAACCCCCAAACCGUGUGCGUACAUGUCCAAAAACAUGGUAAUACCGUGCUGAGACUCAGUAACUAUGCAUAAUACUUAUAAUUGUUGUUUAAUGAAUUAAAGACGUUGUAAACAGAGCUUUAACCUCGCCGAGAUAAUAGCAGAUAUAAAGGAGCGUUAAUAUGCAAGUGCCCCCUUUGUAAACGCAUAGGAGGGAUGGGUUGUUUUUUAAGUAUUCAACAAGAGAGCUCUCUCUCCCGUCCCUGUCUCGGACACUCCACUGAAACUCCCCGUCCAUAUCUCUAGCUCUUUGAAAAGAUUGGAAAGGGUCUCCGAGGGAGAAGAGGAGAGGAGAGUGAGAGUGAGAGGGACAGCGAAUGGGAGCAGGGUAGACGCUCUAAUAGAAUCUGGGAAUCGGCAAGAGUAAAAAGGAGAAAGUGGACGGCAGGACAUUAAAAGAAGAAGCGCCAGCGACGGUGGUUAACGGUAGCGGAGCUGCUUUCUACGUGGGCAAACCGGGCACCGAUAAGGCAAGUGCACUAUUUAUUACUCACUUCUUCUGCCCUGCACACGCGUGCUUCAGAAAGCAAGGACAAAAUUCUCUUGAGUCCCGCCACAUGAGCGUUUACUUUAAAGCGUGCAGAAGUCCGGGUCGUGUCAAAGUCACAACUUUUUAACUAGUGCACAGUCUCAUUUCUCCCUCCACGAAAAGGGCGACGGUAGACACUCGUUUCACGUUUUCCCCGCUGAUUUGUAUAUCUGAUGGUAGUGAUGUUAGUGCAGGCUGGUUGGAGUACAACUGGACACGGGAGCCCCCUUUUUUGACGUCCAGUGCACUUCACCUGCAAAGCUGUUUGUUGGUUGAACACAUAAUGAAAAGAUCGAUAACCGUCUGCUUGUCUCAGCGAUAGUGUCACCGGAUUAAAAGACUGAUCAAGGAGACCAGGCGUUGCCCAUCUUCUACACUCUUUCCCAAGUGCCAAUUUAGCCAGGAUAUUACUAGAUGCAUACAUUAUAGAUUCAAAAAAUAAAUAAAUGAAUCAAUAAAAUCAAAUAAAAAUCAGUGCACCGCUAAGAAGUCAUUAUGCGUCAGAAAAUGUUGCUGAGAGGAAAUUUAAAGCGACAUGGAGUAUGCGUGUGUGUAUGUGUGUUUUUUUUUCCCAUCAAAGCAGCAUUAUUGAUGUGGAGGGAGUGCAGUGAAAAGUAAUAUAAAAUAAACGAUGUGCAACGUGGGCCAGGUUAAUAUAUUCCAGGACAAAGCGCGUGCCAGACGGCUUUCUAAAAUAACCUUACAUAAUAACAUUUAACCUAAUCCUCCCAUGCUGAAAUAAAGUUCAUGCUAAUUAAUACUAAGUGAGCCAAGCAAUAUUUUUUCAUGUCCUAUACUUAAGGUUUCCACUUUUUAAACGCGUAGAAAAAUACGGACGUCUCCAUAAAAUAUGAACUUAUUGGAAAAAACAUCUAAAGAAUGACAUAAUCACAUUAACAAAGCGAGUCAUUCAGGUGAUUGAUGCAUUUGCGCAUUAUAUAGCAGCAGUCCUACUUUGACUGCAAUGCAACGGUUUGCUUUGCAACAGAUUAUUUGCGGUCUCGAAAUAGACAAGGCUGACAUUUUCCAUUGCAAUCAAACUUGAAUAAACCACAAAUAGAAUUUCUAUGGCUGCUUAAAUUUCCCUCGCAUGGUAGUUUUGUCAAAGGACCUUAUUAGAUAAACAUUUGUAAGAAUGGGAAGCACAUUGCAGUUUUGCCAAAUCUGUGAUCAAUAAUGCCCUCUGUACACAGAUUCAGACUUUGUAAAGCUCACAAAAUGCAACUUUAACGCAGCUGAAACCAACAAGCAGCACAAUCAGUUGGGAAAACACUGAGGUCAUAAGUGCAAGGCUCCCUAAUAAAACACCAGAUGACAACAGGAAUGCAUUUCAGAGCAUUUAAAACGAUGCAAAGUGAUGUAGGAAAAAAACAUUAGUAAAAAAAAAGCGUCGAAGGUCUGUUUAUUAUUGAUUGUGUGUAUGUAAUCACUUCAGAGUUUGUAACCGCAGUAUAUUCAAUAA
Molecule: long non-coding RNA, 3481 nt
Organism: Oreochromis niloticus (Nile tilapia)
Lineage: Eukaryota; Metazoa; Chordata; Actinopteri; Cichliformes; Cichlidae
Exons: 2
Source: RefSeq, a predicted model, not a curated record